CGUAGGUGGCAAGCGUUGUCCGGAAUUAUUGGGCGUAAAGCGCGCGCAGGCGGUUCCUUAAGUCUGAUGUGAAAGCCCCCGGCUCAACCGGGGAAGGUCAUUGGAAACUGGGGAACUUGAGUGCAGAAGAGAAGAGCGGAAUUCCACGUGUAGCGGUGAAAUGCGUAGAGAUGUGGAGGAACACCAGUGGCGAAGGCGGCUCUUUGGUCUGUAACUGACGCUGAGGCGCGAAAGCGUGGGGAGCAAACAGGAUUAGAUACCCUGGUAGUCCACGCCGUAAACGAUGAGUGCUAAGUGUUAGAGGGUUUCCGCCCCUUAGUGCUGCAGCUAACGCAUUAAGCACUCCGCCUGGGGGAGUACGGCCGCAAGGCUG
Molecule: ribosomal RNA, 373 nt
Filed under: uncultured organism
Description: bacterial SSU rRNA
Rfam family: Bacterial small subunit ribosomal RNA
Source: RNAcentral